CCAUCUGGAAGAAUCUGGAGACAGGUGCUGCAUGGCUGUCGUCAGCUCGUGUCGUGAGAUGUUGGGUUAAGUCCCGCAACGAGCGCAACCCUUGCCUUUAGUUGCCAGCAGUUCGGCUGGGCACUCUAAAGGGACUGCCGGUGUUAAACCGGAGGAAGGUGGGGAUGACGUCAAGUCCUCAUGGCCUUUAUGACCAGGGCUACACACGUACUACAAUGGCCGAUACAAAGGGCAGCGACACUGCGAGGUGAAGCCAAUCCCGUAAAAUCGGUCUCAGUCCGGAUUGGAGUCUGCAACUCGACUCCAUGAAGUUGGAAUCGCUAGUAAUCGUGGAUCAGCAUGCCACGGUGAAUACGUUCCCGGGCCUU
Molecule: ribosomal RNA, 368 nt
Filed under: uncultured Desulfobulbus sp.
Lineage: Bacteria; Pseudomonadati; Thermodesulfobacteriota; Desulfobulbia; Desulfobulbales; Desulfobulbaceae
Description: bacterial SSU rRNA
Rfam family: Bacterial small subunit ribosomal RNA
Source: RNAcentral